CCGCAUUGUAAUUUGCAGAGGAUGCUUCGGGAGCGGUCCCCAUCUAAGUGCCCUGGAACGGGACGUCAUAGAGGGUGAGAAUCCCGUAUGGGAUGGGGUGUCCGCGCCCGUGUGAAGCUCCUUCGACGAGUCGAGUUGUUUGGGAAUGCAGCUCUAAAUGGGUGGUAAAUUUCAUCUAAAGCUAAAUAUUGGCCGGAGACCGAUAGCGCACAAGUAGAGUGAUCGAAAGAUGAAAAGCACUUUGAAAAGAGAGUUAAAAAGCACGUGAAAUUGUUGAAAGGGAAGCGCUUGCGACCAGACUCGCUCGCGGGGUUCAGCCGGCAUUCGUGCCGGUGUACUUCCCCGCGGGCGGGCCAGCGUCGGUUUGGGCGGUCGGUCAAAGGCCCUCGGAAGGUAACGCCCCCAGGGGCGUCUUAUAGCCGAGGGUGCAAUGCGACCUGCCUAGACCGAGGAACGCGCUUCGGCUCGGACGCUGGCAUAAUGGUCGUAAACGACCCGUCUUGAAACACGGACCAAGGAGUCUAACAUCUACGCGAGUGUUCGGGUGUCAAACCCGUGCGCGAAGUGAAAGCGAACGGAGGUGGGAACCCUUGCGGGUGCACCAUCGACCGAUCCUGAAGUCUUCGGAUGGAUUUGAGUAAGAGCGUAGCUGUUGGGACCCGAAAGAUGGUGAACUAUGCCUGAAUAGGGCGAAGCCAGAGGAAACUCUGGUGGAGGCUCGUAGCGGUUCUGACGUGCAAAUCG
This 744-nucleotide ribosomal RNA is filed under the name Penicillium verrucosum. RNAcentral's name for it is "LSU rRNA". It matches the Rfam family "Eukaryotic large subunit ribosomal RNA", at positions 138 to 900 of the family's 3401-position model. Lineage: Eukaryota; Fungi; Ascomycota; Eurotiomycetes; Eurotiales; Aspergillaceae. The record is from RNAcentral.